Molecule: non-coding RNA, 3287 nt
Organism: Paramormyrops kingsleyae
Lineage: Eukaryota; Metazoa; Chordata; Actinopteri; Osteoglossiformes; Mormyridae
Source: RefSeq, a predicted model, not a curated record
CCCGGCUCGUGGCCAUCAUCUACCAGUGGGAUAUCUAGGACUAUAUCUGGGCAUAUCAUGCACCGAGAACACCGAUGUGUACCUAAGCAGAGACGUCACCUAAUCCUGCUCCCCAAUUAACAAAGGAGACAGGUUCAAAGCGUCUAUCUGAUCCUGCCCAACAGUGGAGACUAAGUGAGAGGCUACCUUAGCAACAUGAGGAGGAACCUUCAUGACACCAGCAGGCAAACUAAUCACAAAAGACGCUGGCUAAUGUACCCACCGUAGUACAGAGGUAGAGCAAAAAGUCAAUUGAUCCCCCGUUAACAAUCAGUAUAUACACACUGCUUCUUACCACUCACACUAACUCAGGGGACACCUGCAAUCAACCAGGUAAGCCCAAGGAUGGAGGUUAAAACAAAAUGGUAGCACCUGAAUACUGUCCAGCAUAGGUGGCCGCUACCAACUUCAUCGUUCCCCGAGGGAUGUGACACACCUUCCCACCCUGACUCUAACCUUACCUGGGGCUCCCUCAGGUGCCUGCACUCUAGAGCUAUGACACUGUUGCAGGGCCUGCAUAAUAAACGCAGGUGCCAUAAACAAUGAAGGCAACUCAAACAAGGCUGAACCAUACUGCACAAAGAGCUCCUGAUUGCACCUCUGGAUCACGUUCAUUCCCAAGACAGCAGGAACCUGACAAGACACAGCACCUGGGGGAUCCUUAACCACCAGUACCCCCUACACUGUGACAUCACCUUACCACAAAGUUCAACUGGGGGCUAGGAGGAAAUCACAUCCCAUCACAUUCCCAAGCAAUGUGACAGCUGUUGACAACUUCUGCAUAUGAUAGGACUACGCCCAGGUGAACACCUGCACUGAUGAGAGUGAUGCAAGAGGGUUACACUCCGAGUAAGCUGCCAAAGCUGCUCACGCUGACCUUUCAGCAGUUCCCUCAGUUCCUACAUCUCAAAGUCCUGAACUUAAUUACUCACGUUCUGGGGAUUGCCCAGGACCCCACACUGAAUACCAACAGCCAAUGGGCCAGAAUGAGUUUGGGCCCAUGCACCACCUGGCAAACCUUCCCGUUCCCACCUGAUAACCUCACUCCUAACUAUCAGUAUGGUAGCAUUGGGCUGCCUGCGCACCAUCAGCUUUAACUCACUACAGAGGGCACCGUCACAGACAUACUCAACAAACUGGUCCCUCAACAAAAUAUAAGCAUUUACCAUCCCGCUAGGCGCACGCUGCUUUACUUUCUUUACUUACUUGCUUUAUGGAAAAGAAAAUCUCCUGCAAAGCUACAUACAACUCUGCAUACACAUACAGCUCCAGCAACACAGCUGGGCUGGGGCUCCUGUUCCGCACUAGAGUGACAUUUUUUCUCCUCACAAGCUUCCCCUUCCAAGUGAUCAAACAGAACGCUUGACCGGACGUGAACAAACACUGAGCCCUCAUACCCACUCAUUCCUCCUUAAGCCACUCACUUAAACUGAUACCUGAUCAUCCAAUAAACAGGGCACUUUUGAUCCCAAGGUACAAACACCAGCCUCUCCAUCAUGGGGCCAGUAUUAAUAGAUGGAGCCGUAAAUGAGCGACUAAAUCCCUCAGCUCUUGUUAUUUCCCCUCCAUCAUAACCUUACUCAGAUAAAUGUAGCACAAAACAAGAUCAAUAAGGCAAUCAAGGCUUCAAAACUCACCAAGGGCCAUUAAAAAAAGCUCUGCUUUGCCUUUACACAAUUACACUAAACAAUGUAUUCAGUACAAAGCACAAUAAUAAGAGGAUGGAACACACAUCUCCAAGCAGAAAGUAUAUCUGGCCGACAAAGCCAGCUUGCAAUGAACUAGCCCAAUGACACAUAAACAUUAUGAUCAGCAGAUACCAGUAACUUCCUGAGCUGCCAGCAUCCCAUGCUUAUGUGCAGCAAAAUACACUGACACUAAACAGAAAUUAGACAACAUACCAGUUGCAGACCAUGAGACAGAUGCUUCCGACAAGGAAUCCACACAAUGUGAGUCUAAAAAACAAAAUUUGAAGCAAACAGUAUAACGAAUUGCCAAAUACAGUGAGGAGCAGAGGGAGAAGAUCAUGGAUGAGCCAUCCCAUAUCUGAAACAAUAGCAGAAGUCAGGUAACUGGAAAUGGACCAGGCUCUCAGUGUCAGGUCCUCCCAAACAGCUGCUACUGACCUGUAUAGGGAGCCUAUGUCUUUGUCACCUAAUUACUGGGUGAGACAAUGAGACAUAUGGGAUUUGCAGGACAUCCUUGUGCGUCGUCAUUGCCCCUUCUUAGCUCACAUUUCACCAUGGUUUUUAAGGUGUACCUAAUUGCCCUCUUCUAUUGCAGAGCUCUUGACCCUAUGUGGAGUAAAUGUGACUUUCCUUCCUGUGGACUCAUUGUCUAAACUUCCUGACAAACAAAAAUACAAUUGUUUGUUUGAUAGCAUAUACUGUUCUGCCAGCAUGGUUCACCAGCUGGGCCCAUCACUGAGACUAAUUGCUGCACCUAAGGCUGUCCUUGUUGUGGAACUUGCAGACUACCUGCUAGAUCUUUCUAAGGAGCAGGUUGCUGGAUUUGCAGAGAAAGUUGAUAACAUUGCCCGAGGAGCAGGGUUCAAGCCAUUGGAAGAAAUAAGGGGCAUUUUUGCCACAUAUACACUGCAAGAGGGAUGAACCCUGGCGACUAUGAUCUCCUGACAUCAUCUGUGUCUGUUUCAGAUUGUCUUGGCUGUGUGGCUUCUUACUUAUUAUUAUUAUUGUCUGCCUAUUAUUAUUCUUUCUGGAACACUUUGGUAGUGAGAUUGGCAGUCACUGGUAUGUGCUUACACUCCUCAUUGUAUUCACCACUAGCACUGUUUUCUUAUCGAUAAUGGCUUCCUGUGACUGAUGGCAAUGUCCAGAUUACUCGGAAUACCUGGCAGCAUAACUCAUUUAAUUUGGUUAAAAUAUUAACAUUUCUUGGGCUUGAUUGGUAGUGAUGUGCUAUCAAUUGCAUGCCCUCAUAUGCCCUUUAUUAUACUUGUGUUGUUAAACAGUUAUAUAAUUUAGAGUUCCGCCUGUCAGUUGGAACCCGGGCAGGAUUAAGUGUGGGAAUCGGGUUUUUCGAGAUGGGUUUUGCAUAGUAAGUUUUAACAUUACUGCUAGCUGGCUAGUGUGAGAGUGUGUUUCUUUCCAAGCAGACUAAACUUACAUGAAUGUAUUAGUUUGUAUUAUUCUGUGAAUACACAUAUUUUUUGUUGUAUGAAUGGACACAUUUUAUUUUUCCUGUCAAGUUUCAUUUUUAUCCAUUUUAGAUAAAUGCAUUUAAUUGUG